Molecule: ribosomal RNA, 488 nt
Filed under: uncultured Sphingobacteriales bacterium
Lineage: Bacteria; Pseudomonadati; Bacteroidota; Sphingobacteriia; Sphingobacteriales
Description: bacterial SSU rRNA
Rfam family: Bacterial small subunit ribosomal RNA
Source: RNAcentral
CCGCUCAGAAACUUAAAUGAAUUGACGGGGCCGCACAAGCGGUGGAGCAUGUGGUUUAAUUCGAUGAUACGCGAGGACCUUACCUGGCUCAAAUGUAUGUUGACGUAUUCUGAAAGGGAUACUUCUUCGGACAAUAUACAAGGUGCUGCAUGGUUGUCGUCAGCUCGUGCCGUGAGGUGUCGGGUUAAGUCCCAUAACGAGCGCAACCCCUAUCAUUAGUUGCCAUCAGGUCAAGCUGGGGACUCUAAUGAAACUGCCUACGCAAGUAGUGAGGAAGGUGGGGAUGACGUCAAAUCAGCACGGCCCUUACGUCCAGGGCUACACACGUGCUACAAUGGCCGGCACAGCGGGAAGCGAAGGGGCGACUCUGAGCGGAUCCCUUAAAGCCGGUCCCAGUUCGGAUUGCAGUCUGCAACUCGACUGCAUGAAGUUGGAAUCGCUAGUAAUCGUGGAUCAGCCAAGCCGCGGUGAAUACGUUCCCGGGCCUU